Molecule: ribosomal RNA, 375 nt
Filed under: uncultured bacterium
Lineage: Bacteria
Description: bacterial SSU rRNA
Rfam family: Bacterial small subunit ribosomal RNA
Source: RNAcentral
AUGAACGCUGGCGGCGUGCCUAAUACAUGCAAGUCGAGCGGUAAGGCCUCUUCGGAGGUACACGAGCGGCGGACGGCUGAGUAACGCGUAGGAACGUACCCCAAACUGAGGGAUAAGCACCAGAAAUGGUGUCUAAUACCGCAUGUGCUCUAAGGAGUAAAGCUUCGGCGGUUUGGGAACGGCCUGCGUACGAUUAGAUUGUUGGUGAGGUAAUGGCUCACCAAGUCGACGAUCGUUAGCUGGUCUGAGAGGAUGAUCAGCCAGACUGGGACUGAGAACGGCCCAGACUCCUACGGGAGGCAGCAGUAGGGAAUUUUCCACAAUGGACGAAAGUCUGAUGGAGCAACGCCGCGUGCAGGAUGAAUGCCUUAGGGU